CACACAACCAUUUCGUAGUGAGUAGGCAUUGCAUUUGUAGAUAAAUUUAUUUGGUGAAAACAAUUUGUUUUGCAUUUAUUGAUUAAUUUUAAUGUAAAAAAAGUUAUUCGCUGUGUUUUGCAAAAAUUAAUUGGUAAUAUUUUAAAAAUGCCUUAUAAAUAUAAAAAAAGUGUUAGAAGAGAAGCAAAAGAGGUAGUUGAACUUCUUUUUAGUGAUAAUCAACACAAAAAAAUUGUAUCAAAAGAACGGUCGGAAACUAGUGAAAUAAAUAGCGACCCAGUUCCUGUGCAAUGUGAAAAUGAAAGUGAGAGUGAAAAUGAAAGCGACGAAGCUCCAACUAUGUCUCCAAUUGAAAAACUUAAUAUUCAAGAUGAGUUGGCUAAGUGGAGUGUGAAACAUUUAAUUUCGAACUCUGCAGUGAAUGAACUUUUAACAAUUAUGAGGAGGAUGAUACCAAGCCUACCAAAAGAUGCUAGAUCAUUAAAAAAACCCCUAGAGAUGCUCCAGUUAUGUCAAUUGCAGGAGGUGAAUAUGUGCACUAUGGACUGGAGGAUUGCUUGACCGAUUUUUUUUCAAACGCUAAAUACGAAGGUGACACUAUUGAAUUAAAUUUUAAUAUUGACGGUCUUCCAAUUGCAAAAAGUUCAUUGAGUCGUUUCUGGAAUUUGAAAAAGGUCUCCAAGAAAUAAACGAAGCAUUUAUUUCUCUUGAAAGCGAACUGAAACUUGUUGCCAAGGCACCAAAUUUCGUAAAGAAUUGCUGGAAAAAAAUAAUAACAGAUGAAUUGGGAGAACGACUCUGCUGGAAAGGGACGGAGACAAAGAGAAGUGUUCGCAACUUUAGUACAACAAAAGCAAUACGAAAUGCAACUUUAUCAUUGGGCUACACGGAGGACACAUUCAUUAAGGACACGCGCACUUUCUUUCAAUUCGCUAAAAAUCGCAUAAAGCUGCGAAACGAUUACAAAAACAAAAAAAAAUGUAAAUUAAAAAAAAAAACAUAGUAAUAUUAUAACUU
Molecule: long non-coding RNA, 1017 nt
Organism: Musca domestica (house fly)
Lineage: Eukaryota; Metazoa; Arthropoda; Insecta; Diptera; Muscidae
Exons: 3
Source: RefSeq, a predicted model, not a curated record